This 434-nucleotide ribosomal RNA is filed under the name Halomonas sp. RNAcentral describes it as "partial 16S ribosomal RNA". It matches the Rfam family "Bacterial small subunit ribosomal RNA", at positions 545 to 981 of the family's 1533-position model. The record is from RNAcentral. Lineage: Bacteria; Pseudomonadati; Pseudomonadota; Gammaproteobacteria; Oceanospirillales; Halomonadaceae.
UCGGGAUACUGGGCGUAAGCGCGCGUAGGCGGCUUGAUAAGCCGGUUGUGAAAGCCCCGGGCUCAACCUGGGAACGGCAUCCGGAACUGUCAGGCUAGAGUGCAGGAGAGGAAGGUAGAAUUCCCGGUGUAGCGGUGAAAUGCGUAGAGAUCGGGAGGAAUACCAGUGGCGAAGGCGGCCUUCUGGACUGACACUGACGCUGAGGUGCGAAAGCGUGGGGUAGCAAACAGGAUUAGAUACCCUGGGUAGUCCCCGCCGUAAACGAUGUCGACUAGGCGUUUGGGUCCUUUCCGGGAUUUUGUGGGGGCGUUAACCGGAAAAAUCCACCGCCGGGGGAAUAGGGCCCCAAGGUAAAACUCAAAUGAAUGGCGGGGGCCCCCCAAACGGGGGGACAGGGGGUUUAUUUCAUCCCCCCCAAAAACCUUUCUACCCUU